AUGGGACACCAUCCAAGUGAUUUUCUUUCAUCCAUGGCCGAUAAGAGUACAUCACUCAAGGAUUUGUUGGACAUCCGGAUCCCACUCCCAGCGGCUGAAGUCGCAAGCAAAGUAUUCAAAGUGAUCGCGUUUGCUGCUCGGUGCAUAGAACCAAAUCCAUCACGCCGUCCAACAAUGCAACAAGCAAUCAAGGUGUUCACUGCUGCUGGAGGACCUGAUAAUCAUGUCGAUUAUCUGCACACUGGCAUUGUUAUCCCUGCCUGCUGGUCGUGA
RNAcentral lists this ribosomal RNA (273 nucleotides) under Triticum aestivum (bread wheat). RNAcentral's name for it is "partial small subunit ribosomal RNA". The record is from RNAcentral. Lineage: Eukaryota; Viridiplantae; Streptophyta; Magnoliopsida; Poales; Poaceae.